This 269-nucleotide microRNA precursor is filed under the name Medicago truncatula (barrel medic). RNAcentral's name for it is "miR2638a stem-loop (mtr-MIR2638a)". Lineage: Eukaryota; Viridiplantae; Streptophyta; Magnoliopsida; Fabales; Fabaceae. The record is from miRBase by way of RNAcentral.
GUUACUAAUCAUUCCAAUCUGCCACUGCAAAUAUUAAUCAUUUGACUUUUGGUCCUAAUUAGUUUUUUUUUGCUGAGAUGGGCUAUCAUUAGCGACGUGGUGCCUAUGUGGCAAGUGAUGAUUGGACGAGGUGGUUGGCUUAAAUAGGUCUUUUGUCCCUGCAAAUAUAUAUCAUUUGAAUUUUCAUCCCUAAAGUUACUAAUCAGAUGUAAUUAGGACUAUUUUUCAAAUGAUUAAUAUUUGCAGUGGCAGAUUGGAAGGAUUAGUAA